RNAcentral lists this ribosomal RNA (253 nucleotides) under uncultured bacterium. RNAcentral describes it as "partial 16S ribosomal RNA". It matches the Rfam family "Bacterial small subunit ribosomal RNA", at positions 524 to 776 of the family's 1533-position model. The record is from RNAcentral.
UACAGGGGGGGCAAGCGUUGUUCGGAAUUACGGGGCGUAAAGGGCUCGUAGGCGGCCAACUAAGUCCGACGUGAAAUCCCCAAGCUUAACUUGGGAACUGCGUCGGAUACUGGAUGGCUUGAAUUCGGGAGAGGGAUGCAGAAUUCCAGGUGUAGCGGUGAAAUGCGUAGAUAUCUGGAGGAAUACCGGUGGCGAAGGCGGCAUCCUGGACCGACAUUGACGCUGAGGAGCGAAAGCUAGGGGAGCAAACGGG